Molecule: unclassified non-coding RNA, 240 nt
Filed under: soil metagenome
Description: partial contains 5.8S ribosomal RNA, internal transcribed spacer 2, and large subunit ribosomal RNA
Source: RNAcentral
AACCAUUCUCACCUGCGGCUAGACCUGCGGAAGGAUCAUUACAGAGUUGCAAAACUCCCUAAACCAUUGUGAACGUUACCUAAACCGUUGCUUCGGCGGGCGGCCCGGGUCCUUCCCGGCGCCCCUCGGCCCUCGCGGGCGCCCGCCGGAGGUAAACCAAACUAUUGCAUUGUAUGGCCUCUCUGAGUCUUCUGUACUGAAUAAGUCAAAACUUUCAGCAAUGGAUCUCAGAUCGGAAGA